This 425-nucleotide ribosomal RNA is filed under the name uncultured bacterium. Its description in RNAcentral is "bacterial SSU rRNA". It matches the Rfam family "Bacterial small subunit ribosomal RNA", at positions 356 to 773 of the family's 1533-position model. The record is from RNAcentral.
GGGGAAUUUUGGACAAUGGGCGCAAGCCUGAUCCAGCCAUGCCGCGUGAGUGAAGAAGGCCUUCGGGUUGUAAAGCUCUUUCGGUUGGGAAGAAAUUGCUUGGGUUAAUACCCUGAGUAGAUGACGGUACCAGCAUAAGAAGCACCGGCUAACUACGUGCCAGCAGCCGCGGUAAUACGUAGGGUGCGAGCGUUAAUCGGAAUUACUGGGCGUAAAGCGUGCGCAGGCGGUUUUGUAAGUCAGAUGUGAAAUCCCCGGGCUCAACCUGGGAACUGCAUUUGAGACUGCAAGGCUAGAGUGUGGCAGAGGGGGGUAGAAUUCCACGUGUAGCAGUGAAAUGCGUAGAGAUGUGGAGGAAUACCGAUGGCGAAGGCAGCCCCCUGGGUCACUACUGACGCUCAUGCACGAAAGCGUGGGGAGCAAAC